AACGCACGAGACCUGCGGACCUGCGGAGGGAUCAUUAAUGAGAAACUGCCCCUCGCGGGUAGAUCUCCCACCCUUUGUAAACUUACCUUUGUUGCUUUGGCAGGCCCGUCUCCGGACCGCCGGCUUCGGCUGGCCAGUGCCUGCCAGAGGAUUCUAAAACUCUGUCUGUCAGUGUUGUCUGAGCCUAUAUACAAUCGUUAAAACUUUUAACAAUGGAUCUCUAGAUCGGAAGAGCACACG
This 240-nucleotide unclassified non-coding RNA is filed under the name soil metagenome. RNAcentral's name for it is "partial contains 5.8S ribosomal RNA, internal transcribed spacer 2, and large subunit ribosomal RNA". The record is from RNAcentral.